This 854-nucleotide long non-coding RNA is filed under the name Toxoplasma gondii VEG. Lineage: Eukaryota; Apicomplexa; Conoidasida; Eucoccidiorida; Sarcocystidae. The record is from RNAcentral.
GACGAAGGCAGCGCGCAUCGUUGAGGAGAGCGUUUGCCGAAAGUCUUUCGGUGCGGUGCAGAUGCCGCGUUUCCCCCGCCAUUCAACUGUGUGUGAAAGUCCCUCUCUUUUCACCAAGUCUCUGCAACGUGUAAAGCGCUGGACCUCACGGCCGGUUAACUCCGGCCUGGCACAGGGUCUCGGCUGCAGAACAAGGGGGAACCUUCCACGGCCAUCUAAGCCUGGCAUCCCCAGACGGGUUUCUUCUUUUUAUUUCUAGUUGGGUUUCCGCCGCGUCCCAGAGAGACAGACUUCCUUUGCCGGUCGCGAGCGUCUUCCUCCGCACUCCGUCUCUUUUUUUCAGUAGCUGUCCACCGACUUUCGCGAGGAAUGAAGAGAGUGAAAGACGCGUUUCUUGCCACUCUUUCGUCCAUCGUGUUCGUCGCCAACAGAGGGUCGUCGAAAGCAAGAAGGAAACCGCCCGGGGGACGGAUCGUCUGGCUUUUGAAAGGGAGGAGGCUUCCCGUGUCUUGCGGAUAAAAAGUCCAAGACUUUUGAUGCUUGUCAAACGUGGUCCACCGUUUGUUUCCUUGGUUUGUUUGGCUGUCUUGACAUCCGAUAGCGGUUCACUCAGUGCAUCUGUUCCUUUUCUCUCGCGGCUUUUAGCGUCUUUCUCUACCCCAAAGUAUCGUCGUCGUUAUCGCGCGUGUGCAAGAAUACUACUCAAGCCUCUCUUUUUUGCUUUUUUCGAGAGAUUUUUUGCUUCGUUGUUCUCCGCGCGCCUCUGUCUUUACCUCCCAGUCGUAGUCUGCUUCGUGACAGAUGUUCACACAGAAAGCAACGCGACGGCAGAAAUCGAAGUGUUCAACUCGCAC